Molecule: ribosomal RNA, 524 nt
Filed under: bacterium
Lineage: Bacteria
Description: bacterial SSU rRNA
Rfam family: Bacterial small subunit ribosomal RNA
Source: RNAcentral
UUGGCGAGUGGCGGACGGGUGAGGAAUACAUCGGAAUCUACUCUGUCGUGGGGGAUAACGUAGGGAAACUUACGCUAAUACCGCAUACGACCUACGGGUGAAAGCAGGGGACCUUCGGGCCUUGCGCGAUUGAAUGAGCCGAUGUCGGAUUAGCUAGUUGGCGGGGUAAAGGCCCACCAAGGCGACGAUCCGUAGCUGGUCUGAGAGGAUGAUCAGCCACACUGGAACUGAGACACGGUCCAGACUCCUACGGGAGGCAGCAGUGGGGAAUAUUGGACAAUGGGCGCAAGCCUGAUCCAGCCAUACCGCGUGGGUGAAGAAGGCCUUCGGGUUGUAAAGCCCUUUUGUUUGGGAAAGAAAUCCAGCUGGCUAAUACCCGGUUGGGAUGACGGUACCCAAAGAAUAAGCACCGGCUAAACUUCGUGCCAGCAGCCGCGGUAAUACGAAGGGUGCAAGCGUUUACUCGGAAUUACUGGGCGUAAAGCGUGCGUAGGUGGUCGUUUUAAGUCCGUUUGUGAAAGCCC